This 1306-nucleotide long non-coding RNA is filed under the name Pogona vitticeps (central bearded dragon). RNAcentral's name for it is "lncRNA (ENSPVIG00000004534.1)". Lineage: Eukaryota; Metazoa; Chordata; Lepidosauria; Squamata; Agamidae. The record is from RNAcentral.
ANCCGAGCGGGAAGCCACCUCCCGGUUGAGAUGUAUGGGAAGAGCUGUAGGCGUCUACGCCUUUUUACUCGGGUUUGUUCCCGACGUCCACGUCCUUAUGUUAUUCCAAACACGCAUUUGUCACGCUUAGGAGGGGACAGACUAGCGGGUGGGUCAAUCUAGCAAAGGCAUCCGCACACAGAAACGGUUUGGGCUCCGGUUUUUAGUUCUGCAGGAAUUCCCGGAGAUGGUUCUGAAGAAAACCGCACGUUCACACAUUGAUUAGAAACAGGAAGAAGGAAAACAGGCAACAGACCAACAGUACUUUCACCAACUCCAAGUUGAAGAUCGUCUCUGCAGGGUGGAGGAACACAUCACACUUCUGCAUAUGUAAGAGAACAAGAUAUGUUAAGAAGAAACCUUCUGGCUGAGAACACCCAAAUUCAGCAGCCUACUUCCAGCCAUAAGAUACCUGUCACCUCUUGGAAAGCUUCAGUGAAGAUGUCAACCCAACGAUUCCCCUUCUUCCUUGCAUCCAGUGUAUCUGGGAUUGAAAGACUCUACCACUUCAGGGCUGAGAGAAUGACUGUACAAGAACCUUGAAUGCUGCGCUGAAGACACGUUAGAGCUUCCUUUCUGCAUUGUGUUGAGUAUUCUUGAGUACUGGAGGGUGUUCCAUGAGCAGUAUAUGCCAGCUGCAGGCCACCUGCUGCCAACCCCUGAAACACUGUGCAUCAUAACUGACAACAUUUGGACUCCAGUGGGGCACAUUGCCAAGGGCAUCAUCAAGUACAGACUGAACUCAUCCUAGAAGAGGAGGAUGCAAGGUCGGUGAUACAGCUGUGGAACAUUCCUGUAUCCAUCACGAUUCAAAAAGAUCUCCCCCUAGAAGAAUUCUAGGGUUAUUUUAUGAAAAAUUCCCUUAGCUGUUCAACAGAAGUGCAGGGAUUCACAGAGCAGAACAGCUGAGUUCCCUACUCCUUUUUUCCCCUCAUCAACUGGCACUUAGAGUCUCAGUUACUCACUCAGAGAUAUUAGUGGGAGAAAGAUUAAAAAAAAUCUAUUACUCAAACUCAACUAGAUCAAACAGCAAACUGGCAAAAUAUGGCUGCUUGCAGCAACAGGCCUCAACACUUUCACAGACUGCAAGAGAGGUGGAAAAAAGGCAGAGCAGAGACGCAGGGUUCUCUUUGCAUCAGAGGCGAGAGGGAGCCAUUGGUUAGUGCUGGAUAGAUUGACAGUCACCCCAGCCCUGAAAGGUCCCUCCCAGCCAAACAUACUAAAGGCAGCAUGCGAGGUUGCAAUAAAACUCCAACAGAAUUGUGCA